UGAAGUAUAUGACUGUAGCAAGCCCCAUUUAAACUUUUGCUUCAGAUUGUGACUUUGGGUUCAAAGUUGAUUUUGUUGGUUGCCCCUUUCUUUAUGCUUAGGAAUCUUGAACCCUAACAACGAGUAUGCAUCCCUGAAUCCCAAAGAAGGUAGCUUUCACGGAUGGAAAUUGUAUGGUUUUGUGAAGCUCUGAUUUUUGCAGAUUCAACAGUUAAGUCACAGGUCAACUGAGGCGUUUUCCACUUUAGCCAAAGUAAACAAGUCUAUACCUUAAGAUGAAGCUAUUUGGGCCAUUAAAGUAACAACUAAUCAGUCUUUGUUUAUUUGUGAUAUUAAACAGGCCUGAGUUUGUUUAAAAACUGUUUCCAUAUACUGUUUGUUCAAAUGUGCUUUUUCAUUGGUGUUUACCUAAAACAGAUAAACAUGAUGUUUCAAACUAGAUGGUGAGAUCUUUGUCAUGAUCCCCAUGAUUCAAUGAGUGUUAGAAGCAAAAAUGAUGGGGAAAGUAGUUUUACAGUAGAGCGAUCUUUAAAUACCAACACUCCAUGUGCUGAGUUUUCUGAUGCUUGGGAAGGGAAUAAUGUUUCUUUCUAAUUAUGUUUAAAUAUAGUUAAAGGU
RNAcentral lists this long non-coding RNA (618 nucleotides) under Helianthus annuus (common sunflower). RNAcentral describes it as "hypothetical non coding rna". The record is from RNAcentral. Lineage: Eukaryota; Viridiplantae; Streptophyta; Magnoliopsida; Asterales; Asteraceae.